Molecule: long non-coding RNA, 2055 nt
Filed under: Lepisosteus oculatus (spotted gar)
Lineage: Eukaryota; Metazoa; Chordata; Actinopteri; Semionotiformes; Lepisosteidae
Description: lncRNA (ENSLOCG00000021806.1)
Source: RNAcentral
GUGCCGGCUCGUGACUAGAGCGCCUCAGUCUGCAGACUCGGGUAGCCAGCGUCGCUCUGCGCUCACACCGGAAAUCUGUCGAGGCUCAGACCAUGCAAACGGUCCUGUUUUUGUGCACAUUGCUGGUUUUGGCGAAGGGUCUGCAGUGUCGUCGUUAACAUUGAUCAUCACUGUCAACACUGCCAGAAACCAAUCUUCAGCUUCUAGACCUGGCCAGCCCCCCCACAGACUUCCCAGCUGGUAGCCAGGAGGAGAUCAACCGCUGUAUACAGCCCAACGCCAGCACCUGUGCUCUAGACUGGGCUGUCCUCGCGGCUUGGGCUCUGGAGCCACGUUCUUGGACCUGCGUCCUGAGACACCUCCUGCAUCCUCAGGCUUGCUCUCUGUCUGUGCCAAUCGGGAGCCUGAUUGGCCUUAUCAUCUCAUUGAGAAGAGUUUCGCCACUUCCCAACAAGACUGCAGAACAUGAAAUCAAGUGCACGCUUCAGAUCAUCAGCUGGGGAAAAGAAAAUGACGAUACCCAGGUGAUCGGCAGAGAUCCCAGUAGCCCCCCGGGGGGAGAGGACAAGGCAGCAGAGGGACCAGAGCUCCAGGGAGUCACAGUCAGGCCUGGGUGACCAGGGCUCAGGCAUGCGAGAGCAGCAGUGUGCCGUUAAGCCAAUGAGAAUCCUCCGUACUCAAUGCUCAUGACCUCUGACCUCCCUCUGCAUGAUUACUGCAGGGAGAGAGGUGGGGUGAGUGCCCAUCAAACCCCACGGUCUGCUCCACAUACUGAUCCCACUGGUAACAAUGAAAUGAGCAUGGGGAUAGUGAUAAUGGAUAUUUUGUCUUCUGGUUGACACCAGUUCUCUGGUCUCCUACCUUGGAGUAAGUUUGCCUGGUCUUCCUGUCUUUAAACCAGGAAGCUCAAGGGUCAGCUCUCUGCAGCGACUAGCCCACAAGCAAGAGACUUUUAAAGGCGCUGUAGUCAGUACUUUUACACAUACAGUAUACAAACCUGUAUAAGAUUAAGGGUUACCUUUGAAGGGCUUAAUUUUGGAAGAUAAGGUCAUGUGUUUAUGAACACAGGCAUAAAGAGGUUAGAGGGUUUUCGUUUUUUUUAAGGGUAUGGUUGACAAGACCUGCCCUUUGUAAGUGUGGAUUAGCCCUUUUAAAAGCUUUGGUUAGAGCAGUUAUUGGCGAAUAAUUUAGCCUGUCCUGUGACACACAGUCCAGGAGGUGUGUGAGGAGCCUGAAAUCAGGACUGCUCUCUCACAGCAGGAUCUGAAGGCUUGUCUGCCAGGGGUGUGUACAUCUGUAAGAGAAAGCAGGAGGCUCAGGGCGUAUAGCGUAACCUGCACGUCUCUACCGUGCUCGGUCACGUGAAAACAGUGCUGCAGUCAGUAACUGUGUCAUUAUGAGCCAAUUAACUGAGUUCUGUGAAUGCAGAAAUGUAGAAAUGCAAACUUCUAACUGCAGUAAACCCACUGGCUUCCCAUUUAUAGCUUUUUUUUUCUGGGAAAAAUGGGAGGAAUCUUUUUUUUUUAUUAUUAUUUUAUCCGUAAGCGCUUGACCGGGUCGGUGUUCUGCGUUCCGGGCUCGGGUCGUGGCGAAGUUUUGGCUCUUCCGCGAGCAAAGAAAUAAAACCGCCCUUUGCCGUCUCUUGACGUGCAGUCCAUGCCUUCCCAUCUCUCUCUUUCGGUUUUCCCCGACCGGAAAGAUGAGCCGCGUGGUAUUAUUUAUGAGGGGAGCCUCGUUGUUGCUCAAGUCCUCCGCCGGCGAGGAAACACCAUCGCUUCCUCAUUGAACCGGCACAAUAGGCUCCUGAAAUUCCAUAUGUCACUCGCUGACACCUAACAGCGCAGCAGAUUAGCCGAGAGCGGGUACAGACUGCCCGCCGCUACGUCUACAAACCGGGUCUUUUUGCUACAGAGCUGCGCGUAGUGCUACUGGCACGCAGGUCACAUCUGUCUGAUUUCCCCCGCAGAGAUCUAGGGACCUGGUCAGGGGCCGGUGAAGUGGUGACUGGCUGUUAACGGGUUGACGGCUAAAGCCUAGAAUGAUUACCAAUUACAG